Long non-coding RNA from Ornithorhynchus anatinus (platypus), 560 nucleotides. RefSeq lists it as uncharacterized. NCBI's taxonomy places the organism in Eukaryota, Metazoa, Chordata, Mammalia, Monotremata, Ornithorhynchidae. The record is from RefSeq and is a predicted model, not a curated record. The transcript is spliced from 2 exons.
UUAAAAAUUGAUUUAAAGUACAAGAUCAUGCUACCUCAAAGAAUUGUAAAAUUUCCCUUUCAGCUAUUUCUCCUCAUAUAAAUAGAAUGGUCCAGCUCCACUAAAACUGUGUUUUGGAGCUAGCCUUGAAGAUACAAGAAGAGACCUGGAAGCUGGUGAUGGGACACUUUAACACCUCUAAACUUGCAAUACCCUCUCUCUCUUAGAGGGUUCUUUAUCUUUAGAAGAAGAUGAUGAUGAUCCUGCUGUAAUUCCAUUCAAGUUAUAAAUGCCAUGGAAAGAACCUCUUCAUGUGAAAAUGGAAGAGGAAACCUAGACCAAAUCCUCAGCCAAGAGGGGGUGAAUGGUGCAAUGUGAAGCAGUUAUUCACGUUCUACAGAAAACAUUCAGGUAUACAGGAAUCCUGAAUGAUUGAUUCAUGGAUUUUCAAAGAUGCACAGCCUGUUGAGAUGGAAGAAUUUUCCAGAGGAUCGGAAUUGUAUUCUGACACCAGCUUCCAGAUUCCUUGAUGCCUCUUCAGUCAUAGCUAUGUAGAAUAGACUUAAGUGGCCAAAAUUGAA